This 355-nucleotide ribosomal RNA is filed under the name uncultured bacterium. Its description in RNAcentral is "bacterial SSU rRNA". It matches the Rfam family "Bacterial small subunit ribosomal RNA", at positions 30 to 387 of the family's 1533-position model. The record is from RNAcentral.
AUUGAACGCUGGCGGCAGGCCUAACACAUGCAAGUCGAGCGGUAGAGAGGUGCUUGCAUCUCUUGAGAGCGGCGGACGGGUGAGUAAUGCCUAGGAAUCUGCCUAGUGUGGGGGAUAACGUUCGGAAACGGACGCUAAUACCGCAUACGUCCUACGGGAGAAAGCGGGGGAUCUUCGGACCUCGCGCCAUUAGAUGAGCCUAGGUCGGAUUAGCUAGUUGGUGAGGUAAUGGCUCACCAAGGCGACGAUCCGUAACUGGUCUGAGAGGAUGAUCAGUCACACUGGAACUGAGACACGGUCCAGACUCUACGGGAGGCAGCAGUGGGGAAUAUUGGACAAUGGGCGAAAGCCUGAU